AAUAAAAUGCACUGUUUGUAAUAAUUACCAUAACUCUACAUAUUUUGUAAGAUAGAUAUAGAUUUAAUGAUAAAAGAAUGUUAUAUACAAAAAUAAUUUAUGUGAUUGCUUUAAUACUAUUCCUGCAAGAGAAAAAUAUUCAAAGGUCAGGUAUAGGAAAUAUGUAAUGUGUUUCGGGUGAUUAAAAUUUUUAACGUGAAAGAGAUCGGCAAACGGAAAAGAAAGACAGAUAGAAUGUUGAAUUGGUCGGCAAACAAGAAAGACUCGUGCGUGUUUUGUCUUUUGCAUUCAAAAAUCAAAAUUCUUUAUUUUUGGUUUUUCGUGAAUGAAACUUUGAUCAUCGUAUUCGUCUUGUUGUUCUAAUUAAAAUGAGACCAAACACGAUAUAAUUUGAAGCAUAAUUACUGGUUUAGAUUUGACGAUAAAAGUUUCUGACGUAGAGGAGGAUAGCGAGUGAAGAAGAAAGAGACACUGCGGUCGUGGCAGUCGGCAAAGAUCAAAAGUCUGUUCAAUUGUUUGCAAUGCUUAUGAGGAGAAAGGUGAUGGCCUUUAAAAACGUCGAGUUUGAUACGGCAAGAGGCAUGGUGACGCGCUCGUUGGGAGAGAAGGAGAUGGAUAGGAUAGGUGGAAUUGAGGAGAUAAUAGGAAACAGUGGGGACUUUCCGGCCCUAGGGGUAAAAGAAAAGAGAGAGUUUUGGGAAAAGAAGGAGGUUCCGAUUCAGAGGGAGUUGGAGAACAUUAGGCGUCUGAGGUAUGGCAAUGGAGGAGAAGGAAACAGAGGCAGAGGUCAGGGAGUACAGGGAAGACUCACUUUUAGUGAAGUAGCAAGAAGAGGUGGAGAAGAAGAAAGAAAUGAAGAGGAGGAGGUAAAUGGGGGUCAGGACAAAAAGGGGAGCGAAGAAUCGAGGGAGGUAAAUAGGAAAGAGAAAGGAGAAGAAGGGGGAUGGAAGAAGGUUAAGGAAGGUGUUAGGGCGCCUUUCUUCAACAGAAAGACGGAUCUGAUACUGUCAAAGAACAGAUACCUUUGCCUCGAGUGUAAAGAGAAGACGAAGAAGAAGAAGAAGAAGGAAGCAGAGAUGGAGGUAUUGGAGAAUAUACCAGUAUCAUAUUACCAAGGGGGGGAGGAACCCGAGGGAGAGGGCGAGUAUGAGACACCGAAUUUGACAGUGAAUGUGAAAGAAAUAGAGAAAGAGAAAGAGAGGACGGGAUGGCGACCAGAAAACAAGAAAUAGAUUGUGAAAAAGAGGAAAAAAGGGAGAGAGAAGAUUCAAGGGGAAGUAAGAAGAUGGAAGAUUUGGAACAGAAAUUGUGGAACGAAACAGAGAAUUGAAUUAAUAAUAUAAUAAGGGCAGAAGAGGAAAAAAAUGGAAGAGAGGGUGAGGAGUUGGCAAGGAGGAAGAAUGAGGAGAUGGAAAGGGGAGGAGAGGAAGAAGAAGAUGAAGAGCAAGGGGAAACAUGGUGGACAAAGUGUGGAGCAAGAAGGAGAAAAGGGGGAUAAAGUGGAAAAGAUGGGAGUGUGAGUGUGAGAGAAGUGUUGGGUGGGCGAACAGGGAAACCAAUAGAGAAGUAGAAUAUGUAGGGAAAAAUGAAUAUACAAGGGAAUCGAUAAGUGCGAAGGAAAGGAUAAAAGGCAAGAAAGAGGAAAGAGGUGCAGAUGGUAGAGCGUUAAAAGAAAAAAGACUGAAAGGAACAAUAUUGGUUCUAGAUAUAAGAAUACUUUAUAUUUUUGAUAUUUUUGAUAUUUUGUCCUAUAAUUAUAGCUAUAGUUAAGCUUAGAAUAGGUGUGAGUAAUUUAGAUCUAAGGUUUGUGCCUUUUGAACACUUAAAAAAAGGAGUGGUGGAUAAACUCAAAUUAGAGUGUGCGACAAAGUAUAUGUUCCUAGUACUUCAGUAUUAUAAAGGGAAAAAAGUAAAUAUAUUUAGAUAUAGGGAAAACAAGUGCCUGAUAAGAAACCAAAGGAAGGGAGAGAAGAAGGAGGAAAGUUUUCACUUUUUGUUGGACUGUAUAGAUAAUGCUGUGAUGAACUCUUUCUUUUACAUAGUCUAUAUGUUUUGUAUUUCUUUUCUAGAUAAGAUAUCUUCGUUUGUGUUUUCGUUUUUAUUUUUGUUUUUGGUUUUGUUCUAUGAGUUAAAAUGUAAUACAAUCAAAGAAAAGAGGUAUUAUUUGAAAAAUGUUAAAGAUUUUAGAGGAGGAGGAGACACGGCUACGCUCGAAGGGAGAGAGAAGAGAGAGGUGAAGAGCGAUGGACUGUAUGAGAGAGGAAUUGGUGGAGAGAGGUGUGGGCCAUGGAAUUCGGGUAAUGUCGGAAUUAAAAGGAAUAAUGGAAAGGAAAAUAUGAGAGGAGUAAGAGGAGUGAAGAAGUGGGGUAAAAGUAGUCACAAAUGUAACAAACGGGAUAUGCAUAGUUAUGAAUAUAGACGUAGAAUGAGAGUGGAAGUAGGAAGAGCGAAGAGCGUAGACCGAGUACAAGCGUAUAACAUAGCUGGUGCUGCGGUACAAUGAUAUGUGGGGACUGAGGUUCGUGAAGGAGAGCCCGGUGUAAUAAAUAAUGCACGACGACGUUUUCUUGCUAUUUGCAAGGAUUGCACUUUUUAUUAAUACGCGCACGUGUAGACUCUUUCGCUUUCGUACAAGAAGUGGAAGAACGACGUUCUUCUUUUUCGCGCCGCGUUCUUUAUAAACUAGUCUUACCAACUACUAUUUACAGCUUAACCUAAGAAAUAAAAAGUAACUAAAAAUAGGAACUGUCCAGAGGGCGCAUGUGUCGCUGUCGGUACAGUCGCCACAGAUAUAAUGUAAGACUGAUGUAUUAAAGGCGGAAUGAGCCAGCUAGGCCAAAACGCCAUCCUCUACGGAAGUAAAUAAAAACCUAAAUCUUUUCCCGGGUAUUGACGUUAUCCGUUUUACAAGUGACAGUGACAUCAUCAUUUGGCAUUAAUUACAUCUUUAUUUUGAUAUGAAGCAUUUGUGAUAUAGUGAUUUACAAGCUUAUGGAUGUAUUUAAAGGCUUGAUAAAAGUAUGUCAAAUAAAUAGGAACAAUGAAAUAUACAAAGAAACUUCCUAUAGCACUUAUUAGAGCAAACAACAAAAAUGUGGGACCUUCACUGAUUGCAUCUUUUA
Megachile rotundata (alfalfa leafcutting bee) is the source of this 3122-nucleotide unclassified non-coding RNA. NCBI's taxonomy places the organism in Eukaryota, Metazoa, Arthropoda, Insecta, Hymenoptera, Megachilidae. The record is from RefSeq and is a predicted model, not a curated record.